Molecule: ribosomal RNA, 510 nt
Filed under: uncultured bacterium
Lineage: Bacteria
Description: bacterial SSU rRNA
Rfam family: Bacterial small subunit ribosomal RNA
Source: RNAcentral
CGGACGCUGGCGGCGUGCUUAACACAUGCAAGUCGAACGGAGAGAGAUGGGAGCUUGCUCCUAUUAAUCUUAGUGGCGAACGGGUGAGUAACGCGUAACCAACCUGCCCUUCAGAGGGGGAUAACAACGGGAAACCGUUGCUAAUACCGCGUACGAUUACCGAGCGGCAUCGCUUGGUAAUGAAAGGUGGCCUCUAUUUAUAAGCUAUCGCUGAGGGAGGGGGUUGCGUCUGAUUAGCUAGUUGGAGGGGUAACGGCCCACCAAGGCAAUGAUCAGUAGCCGGUCUGAGAGGAUGAACGGCCACAUUGGGACUGAGACACGGCCCAAACUCCUACGGGAGGCAGCAGUGGGGAAUCUUCCGCAAUGGACGAAAGUCUGACGGAGCAACGCCGCGUGAGUGAUGACGGCCUUCGGGUUGUAAAGCUCUGUUAAUCGGGACGAAAGAGCUCUGUGUGAAUAAUGCAGAGAAGUGACGGUACCGGAAUAGAAAGCCACGGCUAACUACGUGCC